Molecule: ribosomal RNA, 468 nt
Filed under: uncultured bacterium
Lineage: Bacteria
Description: partial 16S ribosomal RNA
Rfam family: Bacterial small subunit ribosomal RNA
Source: RNAcentral
GACGAACGCUGGCGGCGUGCUUAACACAUGCAAGUCGAACGGCAAGGCCCUGCUUUCGUGGGGUGCCCGAGUGCCGAACGGGUGAGUAACACGUGAGUAACCUGCCCUUCAUUUUGGGAUAACUUCAGGAAACUGGGGCUAAUACCGGAUAGGAGCCCCCGUUCCAUGGUGGGGGUUGGAAAUUCUCGGCGGUUGGGGAUGGAUUCGCGGCUUAUCAGCUUGUUGGUGGGGUAGUGGCUUACCAAGGGUUUGACGGGUAGCCGGCCUGGGAGGGUGACCGGCCACAUUGGGACUGAGAGACGGCCCAGAGUCCUACGGGAGGCAGCAGUGGGGAAUAUUGCACAAUGGGCGGAAGCCUGAUGCAGCAGCGCCGCGUGCGGGAUGACGGCCUUCGGGUUGUAAACCGCUUUCGCCUGUGACGAAGCGUGAGUGACGGUAAUGGGUAAAGAAGCACCGGCUAACUACGUG